AAUAUGGGCAAACCUAUCGAAAGGUAGGGACGCAAAGCCAUGGGUCUAAAGACAGAAUGUCGAUGAUUGCCAGGUUGCCGA
Molecule: non-coding RNA, 81 nt
Filed under: human gut metagenome
Description: Cyclic di-GMP-I riboswitch
Rfam family: c-di-GMP-I riboswitch aptamer
About the family: GEMM was predicted in a large-scale screen for bacterial structured RNA regulatory elements. Genes associated with GEMM are involved in a diverse array of functions, including chemotaxis regulation, signal transduction, secretion and chitin.
Source: RNAcentral